Molecule: ribosomal RNA, 477 nt
Filed under: uncultured bacterium
Lineage: Bacteria
Description: partial 16S ribosomal RNA
Rfam family: Bacterial small subunit ribosomal RNA
Source: RNAcentral
AUGAACGCUGGCGGCGUGCUUAACACAUGCAAGUCGAACGGGAAACCUUUUAUUGAAGCUUCGGCAGAUUUAGCUGGUUUCUAGUGGCGGACGGGUGAGUAACGCGUGGGUAACCUGCCCUAUACAUGGGGAUAACAACCAGAAAUGGUUGCUAAUACCGCAUAAUCGCACAGGGCCGCAUUUUCCGGUGUUAUAAACUCCGGUGGUAUAGGAUGGACCCGCGUUGGAUUAGCCAGUUGGCAGGGUAACGGCCUACCAAAGCGACGAUACAUAGCCGGGCUGAGAGGGUGAAGGGCGACAUUGGGACUGAGACACGGCGCAGAAUCGUACGGGAGGCAGCAGUGGGGAAUAUUGCAAAAUGGGGGAAACCCUGAUGAAGCGACGACGCGUGAAGGAAGAAGUAUCUCGGUAAGUAAACUUCUAUCAGCAGGGAAGAUAGUGACGGUACCUGACAAAGAAGCCCCGGCUAACUACGUG